This is a long non-coding RNA of Cebus imitator (Panamanian white-faced capuchin), 654 nucleotides long. RefSeq lists it as uncharacterized. The record is from RefSeq and is a predicted model, not a curated record. The transcript is spliced from 3 exons. Lineage: Eukaryota; Metazoa; Chordata; Mammalia; Primates; Cebidae.
AGUGAGCGCUGGUCGUGCUACUGCAUUCCAGUUUGGGUGACAGAGUGAGACCCUGUUUCAAAAAACAAACAAACAAAAAACUAGUAAAAUACAUUACAUUAAAAUUAAGAACUUCUUUUUGUCAAGGCACCAUUACAAAAAGACAAACCACAAUAUAAGAAAAGAUACUAGCCACACAUAUAUUUGACCAAGAACUCAUAUCCAGAAUAUAUAAAUGAUUCCUAAAUAUCAUUAAGAAAAAGACUGACAACCCAACAGAAAUAUGGUCAAGUUACUUAAACAAGCAUUACAGAAUAGAUCUUUAAAUGUCUUCUGAAGGCCAUUUUUCUCAAACAAAAACAAAAAGAUCUCCAAAUGUUAAGUAGCAUAAAAUGGUGCUCAACUUCAAUGGUCAUCAGGUAAAAGGUUAAUGUCAAAAUGAGAUACCGCUACAUUCCCAUCAGAAUGCCCAAAUUAAAAAUUUUGACAGUACCACAUGUUGACGACAGGGUGGAGAAAGUCAAACUGUCACACACUGUUGCAGGGCAGUGAGGAGGGAUGGGGGCACAGGGAUUGGGUAAAGUUUCCAUAAACUUUGGAACACUGUCAUUCUUUACAAAAUUUGAACAGACAUAAAUGACUAAGCAACUUUAAUCCUAAAUAUAUUUUAUCCAU